This 406-nucleotide ribosomal RNA is filed under the name uncultured bacterium. RNAcentral's name for it is "partial 16S ribosomal RNA". It matches the Rfam family "Bacterial small subunit ribosomal RNA", at positions 29 to 526 of the family's 1533-position model. The record is from RNAcentral.
AUUGAACGCUGGCGGCAGGCCUAACACAUGCAAGUCGAACGAGUGGCGGACGGGUGAGUAAUGUCUGGGAAACUGCCUGAUGGAGGGGGAUAACUACUGGAAACGGUAGCUAAUACCGCAUACCAUCGGGUGUGCCCAGAUUGGAUUAGCUAGUAGGUGGGGUAAAGGCUCACCUAGGCGACGAUCCCUAGCUGGUCUGAGAGGAUGACGAGCCACACGUGAAAUGGGACACGGUGCAGACUCCGACGGGAGGCAGCAGGGGGGAAUAUUGCACAAUGGGCGCAAGCCUGAUGCAGCCAUGGCGCGUGUAUGAAGAAGGCCUUCGGGUUGUAAAGUACUUUCAGCGGGGAGGCGGUACCCGAAGAAGAAGCACCGGCUAACUCCGUGCCAGCAGCCGCGGUAAUUC